Ruditapes philippinarum (Manila clam) is the source of this 227-nucleotide long non-coding RNA. RefSeq lists it as uncharacterized. The record is from RefSeq and is a predicted model, not a curated record. Lineage: Eukaryota; Metazoa; Mollusca; Bivalvia; Venerida; Veneridae. The transcript has 2 exons.
UUCAGCGUGCAAUAGCUUGGAUGACUGCCAUAAUUACUGGUUUGGAAAUCACUGUAGACAUAAUAGCAGACAUUGUAUCGAUGGCCAUUGUGAAUGUCGACGUCUUAAUUGAUAUGGUUGUCAUGAUCCUCAACAUUCAACACAUGGGAUUUUAUAUUCAGGGAAUAUUGAUAUAAACCUUUUUAAGAAAAUUAAUUGUAAAAACUGAAAUUAAUUCCGGGACGUUA